Molecule: ribosomal RNA, 378 nt
Filed under: uncultured eukaryote
Lineage: Eukaryota
Description: partial 18S ribosomal RNA
Rfam family: Eukaryotic small subunit ribosomal RNA
Source: RNAcentral
CAAUAGCGUAUAUUUAAGUUGUUGCAGUUAAAAAGCUCGUAGUUGGAUUUCGGGUGGGACGCAGCGGUCUCGCAUUGCGUUUGUACUGCUGCAGCCCUCCUUCUUGCCGGGGGCGGCCUCUCGGACUUCACUGUCUGGGGGUCAGAAUCGGCGAUGUUACUUUGAGUAAAUUAGAGUGUUCAAAGCAAGCUUACGCUCUGAAUAUAAUAGCAUGGGAUAACACGACAGGACUCUGGCCUAUCGUGUUGGUCUAUAGGACCAGAGUAAUGAUUAAGAGGGACAGUCGGGGGCAUUCGUAUUCCGUUGUCAGAGGUGAAAUUCUUGGAUUUACGGAAGACGAACAUCUGCGAAAGCAUUUACCAAGGAUGUUUUCAUUGA